GGUUUCUGAGCAGGUGUUUGAGUGCCCUCUGGAGGCCUUGUGAACAGUUGAAAUGUGGACUCCUAGCAAAGCUUUCUUUCACAGUCAGAGUUGAGAACCAGUGGGCGAGAUGGUUGAAACUGGUGUGGAUGUUAGGAGCAGAGGAGAGGGGAGAUGGAACUCAUGGGAAUGAACUAGUGUUUACAAGAGCUUGCCCGGCCAACUGAUAAUACUGGGUUUAUGCAGUGAGUGUAGAACACAGAGGCCGUAGGGUCACAGAAGGAGCCAAGGGAGUGUGGCCGGUAAUGUCCAGUGAGAUAAAGAACAAAAAGUGCCCUUGGAUUGGCCAAGAGAAGGCCGACAAUGAGAGGAACCUCGGUGGUGUGGUGUUGGAUUGAGGCAUGAGUGGGAAAUGAAGCAAUAGAAAUCUGGAAAAAUCAGUCUUUAAGAGGUCUGGAUGGGGAAAUGGAGGGUGGGGCCAGGGAGACAGGGUAGCUAGAGAAGGCCUGGGAUUAAAUGCUGUUUUUCCUUAAGGUUGGGGGAGACUUCUGCAUUGUGUUUAAAUGCUGAAGGGAAGAAACAAGCACAGAAAGAAAACAGUUGAAAGGGGUAUGGGGGCCGGGGAGGAGGAGAGAGUUGGUUUCAAAGUUCUUUGCCUGGGAGAUCUGUUGAGGGAAGAAGUUGCCUUUUAUAGGGACUUUGAGUUUGUCAAAGUAGUGAUUUUCAGUUUAUCGUGGGAUGAUGGGGAAAUAAUUCUAGUAGGCAGUUGGAGAUACAGAUCUGAAACAUUUACAUAGGUCUUCGAGAUGCUCAUGAGCCUUAGGGACUGUGCCUAUAUACCUAGAGAUAAGACAUCCCUGUUCUGCUGGGAAGUGGAC
This 857-nucleotide long non-coding RNA is filed under the name Pan troglodytes (chimpanzee). RNAcentral's name for it is "long non-coding RNA NONPTRT003704". Lineage: Eukaryota; Metazoa; Chordata; Mammalia; Primates; Hominidae. The record is from RNAcentral.